Long non-coding RNA from Chelonia mydas (Green sea turtle), 170 nucleotides. RefSeq lists it as uncharacterized. The transcript has 3 exons. The record is from RefSeq and is a predicted model, not a curated record. Lineage: Eukaryota; Metazoa; Chordata; Testudines; Cheloniidae.
GACUAACACGGCUGUUACUCUGAAACCUUUCAAAGCUAAUUAGGCUGGCAGCUGUUUCCCCUUUGCCAAUCAGGUGCAGAUUUCUCUAGCCAGCUCCAAUUUACCUCCCUUAAUUGGAGCAGGGGUGACAGAGGGCUGGCUCAGGAGUUCCUGCACAACACCCUGUCACA